This 426-nucleotide ribosomal RNA is filed under the name uncultured bacterium. RNAcentral describes it as "bacterial SSU rRNA". It matches the Rfam family "Bacterial small subunit ribosomal RNA", at positions 30 to 457 of the family's 1533-position model. The record is from RNAcentral.
AUUGAACGCUGGCGGCAUGCCUUACACAUGCAAGUCGAACGGCAGCACGGGGCAACCUGGUGGCGAGUGGCGAACGGGUGAGUAAUGCAUCGGAACGUGCCAUUGAGUGGGGGAUAACGUAGCGAAAGUUGCGCUAAUGCCGCAUAUUCUGUGAGCAGGAAAGCAGGGGACCGCAAGGCCUUGCGCUCUUUGAGCGGCCGAUGUCAGAUUAGCUAGUUGGUGAGGUAACGGCUUACCAAGGCGACGAUCUGUAGCGGGUCUGAGAGGAUGAUCCGCCACACUGGAACUGAGACACGGUCCAGACUCCUACGGGAGGCAGCAGUGGGGAAUUUUGGACAAUGGGCGCAAGCCUGAUCCAGCCAUGCCGCGUGAGUGAAGAAGGCCUUCGGGUUGGUUAAAGACGUCUUUCGGUCCGGGGAACGGAAA